This is a long non-coding RNA of Herpailurus yagouaroundi (jaguarundi), 1158 nucleotides long. RefSeq lists it as uncharacterized. The transcript has 4 exons. Lineage: Eukaryota; Metazoa; Chordata; Mammalia; Carnivora; Felidae. The record is from RefSeq and is a predicted model, not a curated record.
GUAUGGGUUUGCCCCGCUUUCUUUGGAGUGCUUCAGUGUGUUGAUUUUCUUGUGUUCCUCUCGGGUGCAUUUCCACGCACGUCCACGAGAUGUCCCCUCAGCCUCCAAUCUGGGAUACCGCGGACUCUUAAGAGCGCCCGAACCGACGUGGAGUAGGUAGGGCCUUAUCGUAGAGCAGGGCGUGAUGGCGUCAUGAGUUGCCGGGCGGUUUCUUGCCCCCACUCGCUCAGUCUGCCCCCAGUUUAGGAUAGCGAUCGAGAUUCUCGAGGCUCGUAAUCAACCGCCGUCCAGUGCAUCCAGCGCGUGGGCAGAAGCUACGAAAGAGAUAUGUGAGCCCCGAACUGGAGAGUAGGAGGAACUCAAUGGGAUUCAGACUUCUUGUCAGAUUUUAGCUAGUGCCGAAAGGAGCAUGCCUUGACCAAUUCCUCCCUAACUGUCUCUGUGCUGCCUUGGGCUGUGGGAUGGAUAACAGAACUUUUGAAUCAUCACUGGAAUAAACUCAUUAGAGCCUCUUCUUCAUAACACCGUAUCUGUCACUCAGACACAUGAAGGAAGUGGCCAGACCUGCUCCGUCACCUGCCUGUGCAUCUCUGUCCCACCUGAGAGCUUCCACAGGCCCAGGUGCCUUCUUCCUCUUCGCCAUCUGUCUUGUGCUCAUCUCCUCUGAGAAGCCUUCCAUGACUAAUCCUACUCUUAGCUCCAACUCAUCCCUUGAAGAUUUAUACAAACUAGAUUUAGCAUUCUAGAAGAGGAAGAUAGUGAUGGCCCGGAGUGCAGAAAUGAGUAUUGUGACGGGGAGCAGAUAAGCUAGAUUCCAGGGACUUGGAGAUGUGUGGGCGUAUGGUAGCAGUAGACCUGGAAUGAGGAGAGAGAGACAAAAACUGAGAAGUACCGUAAUGUGCUAACUCGAAGUAUUGGAGACACCAGAGCCAUCUUCACCCAUCCAAAGGGCUGUGGUGUCCAAGAGAGAUGGGCUUGAACUUUAGUGUUUGCUUUCAAUGCCCCUCUGGGCUCACAUGACCCCUGUGCCUGCCACUAUCACCCGGGCUGCUAUCACUAGCCUGUCAGACCCCCAAAUGUGGAUACCAUGACGUCCUCAUCUUUGUAUCUGCAGUGCCUGGCAUGUCAUAGUAACUCAAUAAACGUUUGUCGAAUGCA